This 257-nucleotide ribosomal RNA is filed under the name uncultured bacterium. Its description in RNAcentral is "partial 16S ribosomal RNA". It matches the Rfam family "Bacterial small subunit ribosomal RNA", at positions 29 to 275 of the family's 1533-position model. The record is from RNAcentral.
AUGAACGCUGGCGGCGUGCCUAAUACAUGCAAGUCGAGCGAACAGACGAGGAGCUUGCUCCUCUGACGUUAGCGGCGGACGGGUGAGUAACACGUGGAUAACCUACCUAUAAGACUGGGAUAACUUCGGGAAACCGGAGCUAAUACCGGAUAACAUGUUGAACCGCAUGGUUCAACAGUGAAAGACGGUCUUGCUGUCACUUAUAGAUGGAUCCGCGCCGCAUUAGCUAGUUGGUAAGGUAACGGCUUACCAAGGCA